GAGUUUGAUCUGGCUCAGGACGAACGCUGCGGCGUGCUUACCACAUGCAAGUCGAACGGAAAGGCCUGGCUUUUGUGGGGUNCUCGAGUGGCGAACGGGUGAGUAACACGUGAGUAACCUGCCCUUGACUUUGGGAUAACUUCAGGAAACUGGGGCUAAUACCGGAUAGGAGCUCCUGCUGCAUGGUGGGGGUUGGAAAGUUUCGGCGGUUGGGGAUGGACUCGCGGCUUAUCAGCUUGUUGGUGGGGUAGUGGCUUACCAAGGCUUUGACGGGUAGCCGGCCUGAGAGGGUGACCGGCCACAUUGGGACUGAGAUACGGCCCAGACUCCUACGGGAGGCAGCAGUGGGGAAUAUUGCACAAUGGGCGGAAGCCUGAUGCAGCAACGCCGCGUGCGGGAUGACGGCCUUCGGGUUGUAAACCGCUUUCGCCUGUGACGAAGCGUGAGUGACGGUAAUGGGUAAAGAAGCACCGGCUAACUACGUGCCAGCAGCCGCGGUGAUACGUAGGGUGCGAGCGUUGUCCGGAUUUAUUGGGCGUAAAGGGCUCGUAGGUGGUUGAUCGCGUCGGAAGUGUAAUCUUGGGGCUUAACCCUGAGCGUGCUUUCGAUACGGGUUGACUUGAGGAAGGUAGGGGAGAAUGGAAUUCCUGGUGGAGCGGUGGAAUGCGCAGAUAUCAGGAGGAACACCAGUGGCGAAGGCGGUUCUCUGGGCCUUUCCUGACGCUGAGGAGCGAAAGCGUGGGGAGCGAACAGGCUUAGAUACCCUGGUAGUCCACGCUGUAAACGAUGUGCGCUGGAUGUUGGGCGGCCUAGCCGCUCAGUGUCGUAGCCAACGCGGUAAGCGCACCGCCUGGGGAGUACGGCCGCAAGGUUGAAACUCAAAUGAAUUGACGGGG
RNAcentral lists this ribosomal RNA (896 nucleotides) under uncultured Propionibacterium sp. RNAcentral describes it as "bacterial SSU rRNA". It matches the Rfam family "Bacterial small subunit ribosomal RNA", at positions 9 to 918 of the family's 1533-position model. The record is from RNAcentral. Lineage: Bacteria; Bacillati; Actinomycetota; Actinomycetes; Propionibacteriales; Propionibacteriaceae.